Molecule: ribosomal RNA, 360 nt
Filed under: Triticum aestivum (bread wheat)
Lineage: Eukaryota; Viridiplantae; Streptophyta; Magnoliopsida; Poales; Poaceae
Description: partial small subunit ribosomal RNA
Source: RNAcentral
AUGUCCAAGCAAGCUCCACUCGAGUCGCCAAGGACAAUGGCCAGCCAGGGAUCGAAGCCGAGGUGGAGAGGAAGCAGCAAGAGGCGAGUCCACCCGAAGCAGAAGAAAUCCAAGAAGAUGCCCCCAAGGAGGAAACGGCGUAGAGACGUCGACAUCAUCCGACACGGGGAACACCGGGUCCGAGAUUUCUCUCGGGAUCUGAGUGCUUGGGGGGGAGGGAAACAAUGCCAAACUCGACGCCUUCAAGAAGGAAAAAUGGCGGCUGCAGCCGUCAUCGUCGAUGAAGUUUUCACCCGACAGUGCCUCCUCCACCUCGCAACCGGAAAGUCGGCCAACCACCGCCGUAGCCCAUCAGGCUAG